CCUACGGGAGGCUGCAGUGGGGAAUAUUGGGCAAUGGGCGCAAGCCUGACCCAGCAACGCCGCGUGAAGGAAGAAGGCUUUCGGGUUGUAAACCUCUUUUGUCGGGGAGCAAAAGCCGGACGUGUCCGGCUGUGAGAGUACCCGAAGAAAAAGCAUCGGCUAACUCCGUGCCAGCAGCCGCGGUAAUACGGAGGAUGCGAGCGUUAUCCGGUUUUAUUGGGUUUAAAGGGUGCGCAGGCGGAUUUUUAAGUCAGCGGUCAAAUCGUGGGGCUCAACCCCAUCCAGCCGUUGAAACUGGGGAUCUAGAGUGUGCGAGAGGUAUGCGGAAUGCGUGGUGUAGCGGUGAAAUGCAUAGAUAGCACGCAGAACCCCGAUUGCGAAGGCAGCUUACCAAACUAUAUCUGACGUUGAGGCACGAAAGCGUGGGUAGCAAACAGGAUUAGAUACCCUUGUAGUC
Molecule: ribosomal RNA, 457 nt
Filed under: uncultured bacterium
Lineage: Bacteria
Description: partial 16S ribosomal RNA
Rfam family: Bacterial small subunit ribosomal RNA
Source: RNAcentral